CUCAAGGAAGAUAAUGACGGUACUUGAGGAGGAAGGCCCGGCUAACUACGUGCCAGCAGGCGCGGUAAUACGUAGGGGGCGAGCGUUAUCCGGAUUGACUGGGCGUAAAGGGUGCGUAGGCGGUCUUGCAAGUCAGGAGUGGAAGGCUACGGCUAAACCGUAGUAAGCUCUUGAAACUGGGAGACUUGAGUGCAGGAGAGGAGAGUGGAAUUCCUAGUGUAGCGGUGAAAUGCGUAGAUAUUAGGAGGAACACCA
Molecule: ribosomal RNA, 255 nt
Filed under: Clostridioides difficile
Lineage: Bacteria; Bacillati; Bacillota; Clostridia; Peptostreptococcales; Peptostreptococcaceae
Description: partial 16S ribosomal RNA
Rfam family: Bacterial small subunit ribosomal RNA
Source: RNAcentral